UGAAAGCAAUUUGCAACGAAAGUUAAAGUGGAAAAUUAAAUGUCACCCAUUUGGCUCAGUUAUCUCUGCCAGCCCAGUCUGCAGACUUUUGCUUUUCUGCCACAUCAGAUUGCCUCCGAUACUGCCAGGAUAUUAUGUUGGCAUAUUUCUGUCCGCCUGGGCCGACUGGCUAAGAGAUUCCAGAUAACCAACAUUAGGCCGCCACACCUCGAUAACCCCCAUCAGGCAGCAACGACCCCAUAACCCCAUACGGCAGCUAAGCCUCUAUAACCUCCAUCAGGUGCCACGCCCCGAUAGCCACCAUCAGGCCGCCACUCCUCGAUAACCGCCAUGACGGAGCAACGCCCCGAUAACCGCAUAUCAUUAGGCAACUUAUAACCACCACCAGGCCGCAACAUUCUGAUAACCACCACCAGACCGCAACAUUCGGAUAACCAUCACCAGGCCGCAACAUUCUGAUAACCACCAUCGAACAAUAACGACCCAGCAACCUCACAUUUAUUUUUAAAAUUAAGAUUUUUGAAUUUUAGCGCCAUUCGAAAUUUAACUUUCCCUGCUUUCACUUCCGUCACGGAAAAUAACUUUCACUUCCGUUGCCAAAAGACAUUUCCAGCUUAUAAUAUAGAUGUUACGUAAUUUUCCAAAAUGGCAAUAGAUUAAUUAGUCUACAGUGCAUAUUGGAUUUUUUAGAAUAUUAAAUUGUUAGAAUUGACGGGUUAAAAAUUUGAUCAAGCCAUUCACAAUAUCAGUUUCCGCUACUAAAUUUCACAUUAUCUCCUCAUCUUUGAUUUCUGAACUUUCGCAAUAAAUUUGUGCUUCAAGCAGAGCGGUGUAUGAGUUGUGUGACAAAUUUUUGUUUGAGUUUAUACUUGUUAGUUUUGCUGUGAUUCAAGAAAAAUUAUGUAAAUAUAUGUAAAUAUUUCUUGACCUAAACAUAACGGUAGAAUCAAUAAAAUCAUGUUAAUAGGUCUCACGAAAUUGUUUGCAGUAAAGGUUUUUGAGUUAAAAUAAACUGGUUUAAUAUUCUCACCUUUAGAAUAUUUUCUUCAAGUAAUCUAUGUACGUACAAUUGACUGAUCCACAUCAUUGCCCAGUGACUUUUACACAGGAUUCAUCAUUUAACAAUUUUUUAUACAAAUGACAAAGAACAAAAAUAUUUAUUUACUAAAAUGCUAGAAAUUCAGAAACCAUUUAUAUAAACAGAAUUUCCCGAAUUUUUCGUUUUUCAAAUUCCGACUCAAGGAUUUUUCAAGUCCAUGCAUUUCUGGGCCCGACACCGAUUGGUCAAAGAUUCCGUAAAUGUUGGUCAAGUUAGAUUUGUCCAAUCGCCG
Molecule: long non-coding RNA, 1331 nt
Organism: Folsomia candida
Lineage: Eukaryota; Metazoa; Arthropoda; Collembola; Entomobryomorpha; Isotomidae
Exons: 3
Source: RefSeq, a predicted model, not a curated record